This 1795-nucleotide long non-coding RNA is filed under the name Phoenix dactylifera (date palm). Its description in RNAcentral is "long non-coding RNA (PDAC_LNC004797)". The stretch from base 918 to 1148 matches the Rfam family "MIR159 microRNA precursor family". Lineage: Eukaryota; Viridiplantae; Streptophyta; Magnoliopsida; Arecales; Arecaceae. The record is from RNAcentral.
CAUGUUCCAUUUAAACAGAUUGAAGUACUGUAAAGCAUUCCAGCAAAUCUUGCCUUACAAAAACCCAAUUCCAUGUAUUAAGAAAAGGAUAAAAAAGAUCAAAGGAGAUCAAUCUCAAUCUCAAGUCGUGACUUAAAUGUUUUUCCAGCAUAACAAAACAAAUAAGUGAGAAUAAAAAGAGUAGAAAACGUCCAUUGGUUUGGCCUACGUAUCCCUUGUUUCAGUCCCCUUUGCCUGGCUACCUCUUCAAGAUGCGCAUUUGAUUCCAUCUUCAUUUCUGCACUAAGAAAGAACGAGCGGAGAAAAAGUAUAAUAUGUAGUAAAAGUCUAUUCGGCUAAAUUUUUUAUAUGAAAAAAGGAGCUUAUGAUCAGAAGGAACAAACAAUAAUCCCUGUGAGUCAUCACACCACAUACUACACAAAGCUAGGAAAGAAAAAGGAAAAAAAAAGGUUUUCUUUAGCUUUGUAAGGCCUGCCGACAUCAAGCUUAAAAAUAUAUAUUUCAAAUAAUUUCUAACAAAAUAAUGGAAAUACCAAAAUAAGAUAAAACACUCGUUCGGGAACGACCCCGGCCAACCCACACCAGCUGAAAAAGUUGGGAAAAUGAUGUAAAAACUGCAGACGAAAUACUUGUUUUAUUAUCAAACAAAAAUUAAAGCAUCAGCACGUUCAAAUCCAACAUAGAAUCCAAGAAAAUCUAACAGGCAAACCGACAGUCGACAGAAAGAUGAUUACACAUCGGAACAAAGGUAGCAAAACAUCGCUCCAGCCCCCGUCCAACCAGAAUAAAAUGCUGAGGCCUGCACCAAGGUGGAAAUUUACCAUGGAAUCUGGUCCUCUGUAGGCAUACAAGAGGAAAUAAGAGGAAAACAACGAGACCCAACAACAAGAGAUGAAAGAGAAUGGUAAGUAACAGAGAGUUUAGAUGUAGAGCUCCCUUCAAUCCAAACGAAGAUCGAGAAGGGUUAAUGCAGCUCCUGGGUCAUGCAAACCACAAGCCUAUUCCAAAUCCCAAAAGAACUCCCUCUCUCUCACCAUUGGCGUCAAAACAAAACCAUGGGAUAGGAUAGUGGAAUCCAUGUCUCAGCAGCUAAAUCCACCCCUCGAAAACCCUCCUUUGGAUCUCAAGGAGCUCUACCUCAAAUCCUAUAUCCCAGAAUCCCAGACAAAAAUCAACUUCUAACCAAAAAAAAAAACAUGAAGAAGAAGAACAAACUUGUAAACUUAAAUAUCAAAGGAGAACCCGAAGCCAGAAGCUAUGAAAAUAAAAUACCAUCAUCCGAACCAUUCCCAAGCUCAAACCCAGAACAUGGGAACAUUCAGAUUGCAGAGAAGGGACUAGUUCAGCUGGUAUUACUUACUACUUAGGGCGUAAUGGUAAGAGCAGGAGGAGUGGGUGUUCUUAUAGAAAGACUUGGGGUUGGGUGGUGCGCUUUAGGGGUCUUUCUUUACUCUCUUUUCUGCAUCAUAUCUAGAGCAAGCCAUCGGAAACGGCUUGCAUAGAUUCCUCUGACUUCUCUGAUCACACUCACAUGUCUGGUGGACUCCCACCUCCCCGUCUCUUCAUUCCAAUCCACCGCGUUCAUCUGUGUACGUGGAUAGGAUCAGGCCCGUGUGAAGCUCUUCCCGUACGUAGUCAGGCUGGUGGCAAAUGGUCUGUCAUUUAAAACAUCACUUUGGAAAGCCCCAGGGAGCUUAAGACAAAAGGCACAUACGGGUAACUACGGCUUAGAGCAAGUUUUUGCUUGAAAGAAUCUAAACAAGAACUAGGAUUGCUAGAAGAAGCUCUCUCUCUA